RNAcentral lists this ribosomal RNA (254 nucleotides) under uncultured microorganism. RNAcentral's name for it is "partial 16S ribosomal RNA". It matches the Rfam family "Archaeal small subunit ribosomal RNA", at positions 474 to 727 of the family's 1478-position model. The record is from RNAcentral.
CACCGGCGGCUCGAGUGGUGGCCACUUUUAUUGGGUCUAAAGCGUCCGUAGCCGGCUUGGCAAGUCCCCUGGGAAAUCUGGCGGCUUAACCGUCAGGCGUCCAGAGGAUACUGCCAGGCUUGGGACCGGGAGAGGUGAGAGGUACCUCAGGGGUAGGGGUGAAAUCUUGUGAUCCCUGAGGGACCACCAGUGGCGAAGGCGUCUCACUAGAACGGGUCCGACGGUCAGGGACGAAAGCGGGGGGCACGAACCGG